RNAcentral lists this unclassified non-coding RNA (195 nucleotides) under uncultured fungus. Its description in RNAcentral is "sequence contains ITS1, 5.8S rRNA gene". The record is from RNAcentral. Lineage: Eukaryota; Fungi.
UUUCCGUAGGGUGAGUUUUCCACCUUAUAUCUUGCGACGAAUAAUAUAUGCUAACUGUGUUUCUAGUGAACCUGCGGAAGGAUCAUUAGUGAACGCCCUCACGGGCUUAUAACUAUUCCAAACCUCUGUGAACCGUGCCCUUCGGGGCUAUUUUACAAACAUGGUGUAAUGAACGUCAUAUAUCAUAACAAAACA